GAGAGAGAGAGAGAGAGAGAGAGGAGGAGGAGCGAUCGCCGACCACCACCGAGCCAUGCACCCAUUGGCGGCGACGACCACCACCGCUACUGGCCCACCACCACCUCCGGCAACCACCAGCACACCCCUUCCCUUUCGCCCACGUCUCUAUUUUUUGCCCCCACGCAACACAGACGAACAGAGGCAGCGAAAAACGAACAGGUUUGGAGAUCGAAAGAGGGAGAGGUUAGAUGCGAGAUCUUGGCGUCUUUCAUGCUAUUUCUAGAGUUUUCUUCCAUAUUAAUUGUUUGAUUUUAAAAGUAGAGUAUGAAGUGGGGUUGCGAAGUGACCCAACAAUUAACCCGAAAGACAAUGAUCUUCUUAUAGUUUACACUAAUCAGUUGGAGCAAUUCUACUUGAGGGAGAAAACAAGUAGUUGUCUUGGAAAGAAAUGUGAUUGAUCAGUAAUCGCUUAACUUAUCUUGUUGAUCCCUUGAAUUGAAAUGUGAUUCUUUUUAUUUACCAAACAUUACUUUUGCUAAUUACAAAGCAACGGCCUGGAUGUAGUAUCCCACUAACUUAUCUUGCAGUGUUUAUAAAUUAUACUCAUGAUUGGUUGUUUAAGAGU
Long non-coding RNA from Rhododendron vialii, 607 nucleotides. RefSeq lists it as uncharacterized. NCBI's taxonomy places the organism in Eukaryota, Viridiplantae, Streptophyta, Magnoliopsida, Ericales, Ericaceae. The transcript has 3 exons. The record is from RefSeq and is a predicted model, not a curated record.